Molecule: ribosomal RNA, 301 nt
Filed under: uncultured bacterium
Lineage: Bacteria
Description: partial 16S ribosomal RNA
Rfam family: Bacterial small subunit ribosomal RNA
Source: RNAcentral
CAGUAGCCACGGGAAUACGGAGGGUGCAAGCGUUAAUCGGAAUUACUGGGCGUAAAGCGCACGCAGGCGGUCUGUCAAGUCGGAUGUGAAAUCCCCGGGCUCAACCUGGGAACUGCAUUCGAAACUGGCAGGCUAGAGUCUUGUAGAGGGGGGUAGAAUUCCAGGUGUAGCGGUGAAAUGCGUAGAGAUCUGGAGGAAUACCGGUGGCGAAGGCGGCCCCCUGGACAAAGACUGACGCUCAGGUGCGAAAGCGUGGGGAGCAAACAGGAUUAGAUACCCCUGUAGUUCCUGUCUCUUAUAC